GGAAGUAAAAGUCGUAAAAAGGUUUCCGUAGGUGAACCUGCGGAAGGAUCAUUAUUGUAUAACCGAGGUGCGAGGGCUGUCGCUGACCCGAAAGGUCGUGCACGCCCGAGUGCCCUCACACACAUCCAUCUCACCCCUAUGUGCACCACCGCGUGGGUCCCCCUUUGGCUUGUUCGGAGGGGGGCUUACGUUUUCACACAAACUUUGUAUGCAGUGUAGAAUGUAUUUUUUGUCUUUGCGAUCACGCAAUCAAUACAGCUUUCAACAACGGAUCUCUUGGCUCUC
Molecule: unclassified non-coding RNA, 285 nt
Filed under: plant metagenome
Description: partial contains small subunit ribosomal RNA and internal transcribed spacer 1
Rfam family: Eukaryotic small subunit ribosomal RNA (bases 1-54)
Source: RNAcentral